Molecule: ribosomal RNA, 477 nt
Filed under: Metschnikowia koreensis
Lineage: Eukaryota; Fungi; Ascomycota; Pichiomycetes; Serinales; Metschnikowiaceae
Description: LSU rRNA
Rfam family: Eukaryotic large subunit ribosomal RNA
Source: RNAcentral
AAACCAACAGGGAUUGCCUCAGUAACGGCGAGUGAAGCGGCAAAAGCUCAAAUUUGAAAUCCUCCGGGAAUUGUAAUUUGAAGGUGGGGUUGAAUAGGUCUAGAUACUUUAAGUCCAUUGGAAAAUGGCGCCAUGGAGGGUGAUAGCCCCGUAAAAGUAUUCAAACCUUCUUUUCUUCCCCUCCUAAGAGUCGAGUUGUUUGGGAAUGCAGCUCUAAGUGGGUGGUAAAUUCCAUCUAAAGCUAAAUAUUGGCGAGAGACCGAUAGCGAACAAGUACAGUGAUGGAAAGAUGAAAAGCACUUUGAAAAGAGAGUGAAAAAGUACGUGAAAUUGUUGAAAGGGAAGGGCUUGCAAGCAGACACAACCUCGGUUGGGCCAGCAUCGGAGUGGGGGGAGACAAAAAAGGUUAGGAAUGUAGCUCCCUUUAGAGUAUUAUAUCCUAGCCCUAUAUCUCCAUCCCCUUCCGAGGCCUGCGAU